This 1489-nucleotide ribosomal RNA is filed under the name uncultured bacterium. RNAcentral's name for it is "bacterial SSU rRNA". It matches the Rfam family "Bacterial small subunit ribosomal RNA". The record is from RNAcentral.
AGAGUUUGAUCCUGGCUCAGGAUGAACGCUAGCGGCAGGCUUAACACAUGCAAGUCGAGGGGCAGCAUUGGUGUUAGCAAUAACAUCAGAUGGCGACCGGCGCAAGGGUGCGUAACGCGUGAGCAACUUGCCCUUAUCAGGGGGAUAACCGUUGGAAACGACGACUAAUACCCCAUGGCAUCAUAUGGAGGCAUCUCCGUAUGAUUAAAGAGUUUCGGAUAAGGAUAGGCUCGCGUGACAUUAGCUGGAUGGCGGGGUAACGGCCCACCAUGGCGACGAUGUCUAGGGGUUCUGAGAGGAAGGUCCCCCACACUGGAACUGAGACACGGUCCAGACUCCUACGGGAGGCAGCAGUGAGGAAUAUUGGUCAAUGGUCGAAGGACUGAACCAGCCAUGCCGCGUGAAGGUGACGGCCCUAUGGGUCUUAAACUUCUUUUGCAAGGGAGCAAUAAGCGCCACGUGUGGUGCGAUGAGAGUACCUUGCGAAUAAGCAUCGGCUAACUCCGUGCCAGCAGCCGCGGUAAUACGGGGGAUGCGAGCGUUAUCCGGAUUUAUUGGGUUUAAAGGGUGCGUAGGCGGCCUGUUAAGUCAGCGGUGAAAAGUCUGGGCUCAACCCGGAUCGUGCCGUUGAUACUGGCGAGCUUGAAUGCGGAUGCCGUGGGAGGAAUGUGUGGUGUAGCGGUGAAAUGCAUAGAUAUCACACAGAACACCGAUUGCGAAGGCAUCUCACGAAUCCGCUAUUGACGCUGAUGCACGAAAGCGUGGGGAUCAAACAGGAUUAGAUACCCUGGUAGUCCACGCUGUAAACGAUGAUGACUAACCGUCGGCGAUACACAGUCGGUGGCCAAGCGAAAGCGAUAAGUCAUCCACCUGGGGAGUACGACCGCAAGGUUGAAACUCAAAGGAAUUGACGGGGGCCCGCACAAGCGGAGGAACAUGUGGUUUAAUUCGAUGAUACGCGAGGAACCUUACCCGGGCUUAAAUUGCAGAGGACAGGCUGAGAGAUCAGCUCUUCUUCGGACCUCUGUGAAGGUGCUGCAUGGUUGUCGUCAGCUCGUGCCGUGAGGUGUCGGCUUAAGUGCCAUAACGAGCGCAACCCUUGCCGGUAGUUACCAUCAGGUCAUGCUGGGGACUCUACCGGGACUGCCAUCGUAAGAUGUAAGGAAGGUGGGGAUGACGUCAAAUCAGCACGGCCCUUACGUCCGGGGCUACACACGUGUUACAAUGGGAGGUACAGAAGGCCGCUACCCGGCGACGGGAUGCCAAUCCCCAAAACCUCUCUCAGUUCGGAUUGGAGUCUGCAACCCGACUCCAUGAAGCUGGAUUCGCUAGUAAUCGCGCAUCAGCCACGGCGCGGUGAAUACGUUCCCGGGCCUUGUACACACCGCCCGUCAAGCCAUGAAAGCCGGGGGUACCUGAAGUGCGUGACCGUGAGGAGCGCCCUAGGGUAAAACUGGUGAUUGGGGCUAAGUCGUAACAAGGUAACCGU